ACCCCUACGGGGGGCAGCAGUUGGGAAUCUUGGACAAUGGGGGCAACCCUGAUCCAGCGACGCCGCGUGGGUGAUGAAGGCCUUCGGGUUGUAAAGCCCUUUCGCCGGGGACGAUGAUGACGGUACCCGGUAAAGAAGCACCGGCCAACUCCGUGCCAGCAGCCGCGGUAA
RNAcentral lists this ribosomal RNA (171 nucleotides) under uncultured Rhodospirillales bacterium. RNAcentral describes it as "partial 16S ribosomal RNA". It matches the Rfam family "Bacterial small subunit ribosomal RNA", at positions 335 to 523 of the family's 1533-position model. The record is from RNAcentral. Lineage: Bacteria; Pseudomonadati; Pseudomonadota; Alphaproteobacteria; Rhodospirillales.